GCAGCACUGGUCGUUGGCGUCGUUUCCCAGAUGUCAAGAUAAGGAAAGCUCCUGUGCAGAGAAUGGGAACUCCUCAGUGCACCAAAAAAGGCAUAUACAGGAGACUCAGAAGACCCCCUCUAUUAUAAAAAGGCACUUUACCCUUAAAGAGAGAGGAACAAGGAAUGCCAAGUGCUUUGCGAUAAAGCUACUGGAAGUAUUUUUUUCCUCGAUUGUCUGUUUGAAAAUGUGUCCAGAGCUAAUGGAAAAAGAAAAGAGAGAAUGAGAGAAUGUGACAAAACAAAGGACUGUGACUUCAGAUACACCGCUGGCAGAACUUCUGUGACUGAGGCACUUUUUUUAAAGUCCGUUUGUCUCUCUGCCGCUGACAGACGGGCGGUCGCCUGCCCGCACGCAGCCGGGCUGCCCGAGGGAUGCUGGCUGCAGGUGCGGAGCAGCAGUCUGCCGCUGUAGCGAGGCAGAGCAUCGCCGUCCUGCGGCUUCCCGCACCUCACGCCUGAGCCGGCAAGGCGCCGGCAUCGAAGCCAGCAGAAAUGUUUGCUUUCUGCAGGAAAAUACGUGCGCCUGUGUUGGGAGGAUCCCCAGCUGAACCCAGGCUGGGGAGGUGUUAUGUCCUUGGCUCAGUCGGAACCGGUGUUCCUCGGUGAGCAGAGAGCAGAAAUGUGAUGUUACCUGUGUGGCAUGAGAUACCUGAAGGCCUACCCCAAAGGAAAAGCUCUAUCUUUCUGCAUCCCAGACAUCAGCUACUCACCCUCCUUCUGCCUGCAGUAUUUCAUUGGAUCGCAUUGAAUCCGGUAAAAAAUUGCGAAUUACCACCUCAGUAGAGAAGCAAGAGGUACAGAGGAGCUGCAAAGUGACCGCAGAAGUCCGAGCGCGAUGGAAGCCCCGCGCGGGGCUGGGAGCCACGAGUUUAACUGAGCAGCUCCAUCUACUGCACUCCAGCAAGACUGUCCAUCACGUUUCCUUAAAGGACUGUAUAUAAAGUAAUGUUUGGCAAAUAAAAGGGCUCUGGAGUACAGCAUGGCGGGAAAUUAGUUUGUCUGGACCAAAAUUUUUUGAGAAUUAAGUGUUCUUCCUAACUCUAUUCUUUUGUCCUUGUCAAUGGAUUUUUCUGACGAAAAUGAGGAACAGAAAAAGGCACCCAAGUUGUUGGCGUUUCUUCACAAAAUGUGAGACUGAGACCUAAUCCGGAAUAGCUAGUAAUCCAGUGGUUAAAAUUCAGGCUCCUGCAUUCAGUUCCCUACUCUGCCUUUUUUGUAUAUCAAAAAGAAGAAUUAAACAAAAGGCCCGACCGCCAGGUUGUUGGCUUUCCCAGCAAACCCCGCUCUAUCGCUCUCUGGAGCUGUUCCACUUCGUGUUCUCAAUUUGCCGUUCUGUUUUGUUUCUUCACAUCCUAAUCGUUCCCCUUCACAUACCAAAACUGAACUACUAACAGGCAGCCCUCUGAUUAAAUCUAAAGCUUUCUUUGUGAGCUCUUAGGAUACGGACUAAUUUAAUAUGCCGUCCCUCUCUGCAAGCCGUUCUAGGGAGUUUCAACCAGUGCUUACACUUUAUCCUCUAGAUGUUUAAUCUAUACUUUUUUUAGAGCAAAUAUUUUUAAAAAGAAGUGGCACCAGUAUAAUAACCCCACUUAGUCAUCAAAUAUUAAGGCUUUUCUAAAUGUUUAUUAUGUUGUGAAAUUAAAUUAUUGCCAUGCAUGGGCAGAACACUAACUUCUGUUCUGCAAAGGAAAUGGCGUUAAGUCAAGCAUUUGGCCAUUCAGCAACAGCUCUGUUGUCCUCUCUUCCCUCCUAAUUUGCUAAAACCGAAAGGGAAACCACAGACAAAAUAAGAAAAAUAAGAGAAUUAGAGAAAACGGACUCGCAGUGACAAGGGGUGUUGUAUGUUCUAAUUAAGGAACUACCAGAGUCCGGAACACACAAAUUAUAUCUUGUGGUGGUGCUUAUCUUGCUUUAUUAACCCUUGGUUCAAAAGUUGCUUUCCUUAUCUCUGAGUGUGUCAGUUUUCCUUUCGGAAGACGAUGCUUUACACUGAGUAGUAAAAUUCCAAGAUCUUCCAGCCUGCAUGCAGCCUCAAUUAAGUCAACCAAAUUAAAGCACCUGCUAUCAGCAGGCCGACAAAUUCCUCCUAAGAAGUUACGGCAUCUCAUCGCAGUGCUUUAUUGCCCCUUGUCUGCCGAUCCCAGCCCGACUGUGCUUUGCACGCCUCAAGGUGUCGAGUGCACGAUUUCACGUGAAUGGAUUUGUUUUACAGAAUUUCUUGUAUUCCUGCUUGUUUCCUAACUUUUUUUUUUAAUUCGUUUCCACUCAGUUGUUAAACGUUUCAGGGUCAGAGCUCCACAGAGCAGCCGGAGGAAAGACGACUCAAAAUCUUUCUCUCUACUGUCCUGCUAAUAUGCACUAACUCUAAGGAAAUACCAUAAAAGGGUUGGGCGAGGGGGGUGGAAUUUUGUUCUCUUAAAAUAUUUGUCUUUCUGUGGAGAGUGCCUAAGAUUAAUGCCCUUUCCUUAAGAAAGUGUUUGGAAACCUUUUGAUAACAUGUUUUUGCAGAGGGAAAUACGGACUCAAUGUGAUCCCAUUCACCGGCAGCUCUAGAAAGGGAAGAGACCUUUCAAUGCCCAGCUGAGGGAUCAAUUCGCUAAUUGAUCCCAGCUGCAAGAUCAAUUAACACCUUCUUAGACAUCAGAGACAACACCUGGGAGAAAUUCCUGCUAACUGCUCAGUCACUUAGGAAGCUUCAGUUAAAAGCUUGAACCUACACAAAUGCUAAAGCCAACCUGCUGCAAGGUACGAGCCUCAGGGUGAUGGGGCCCUGCUCGAUAUUUAUUUCUUUCUCCCCAAAAAAAUUUUUACAUGUCUGUAUCAGUUUAAGCAGUAUUUUGAGUUGGAGAAGUUUUGUUGUGUUGACAAUGCCCUUCCUCAGGAACUUGGAAAGAGCGAACGGGUCUGCUCCUUCCCGCGACGGCCGCGGGCCGGGGGUUUGGGCAGUCCUGCGGCGGCAGCACUGCAGAGCCCAGAUGAAAGCCAACAUCUCUGACCCUUCGCUGCCCUGAGCGUGGCGGGACCUGGUUGUUCUGGUAAGUGGCUUUUUCUCUCUUGCUUAUAGAGAUGUUCAAAUGGAUUUUGUAUUUUGAGAAAGAAAGGCAAUCUCAGUAUUUCUUGUGAAAUAAGCUUUAUGCUAGCUUUAUCCUAGUUUGUUUGCAGUGUAGUUGGUUUUUUGCUGGGAUAUUUCCCAUUUGUUUUAAAUCCACCUAGCUGUCCGACAGCUUUUUUGCCUCAAUAUUAUAGGGCACCACUCUGUGACUCACCCUGCCCUCCUUAGCCGAACGUGUAAUGCCUGGUGGUGCUUCCCUGUAUUUCUGGGUUUGCAUUGAAAGAAAAUCUGGGUGCAUGGAGGAAGGCAGUGAGAACUGCUGUGUGUUUUCUCCUGUAGCAUAGGCACAGCUAGUGCAGAGCUCAGAAGCUGCCCUUACUGAGUAGGGCAGAAGGAAAGCUCUGCAAAAUACAAACGCUUCAGCAGAAUGUGAACCACCUGCGCUCUUGUUGGGAGAGCGUUCUUGGAAAGAGGGAUGAAAUGUGGGGUUAUGCAGCUCAAGGAAUUAAUUCUGUGUGCACCUCCCAUCCCUCAUCUGUGAAAUAAGGCAUUGGGAACAAAAGCCAAGUGGGCAGGAUGAUGCUACCCAGGCGGAGCACUGUGUCUUGGAGCUUGGUAUAUGAUGUUCUGGAGCAAUGCGCUCUUCUGUUUCAGAAAGCAGGAAAUUCAAUUGUCUUUCAUAAAUUGCAUUUUAUUAAGUUAUAAAAUGUAAUAGUUUAACCCAUUUCAGCUGACGACUAACUUCUAGAGACAAUAAAAUGGUUUAGGUGAGAGCAUCUGGAAGCAUGACUCUCUUGUUCCAUAUUCAACCUUAAAAAACAGGCAGUAUGUUUUCUAGGCAUUUGCCUGAAACUAAAUAUCCUACCUAUAGGUUUGAGCUAUUUAGCAAAAAGCAGGCUGCCAACGAAAGGUGGUUGGGUGUCUUGUGUUUGGUGUGGUGGUUUUUUGCGGGGUGGUUGGUCUGUUUUUCAGAGACUUUUUUUUUUAGGUGACUGUAGCAGAGAACGCAUUUUUCUUUUGAGCACGAACUGAACGUGUCUCACUUCUUGCUGUGUAAGACUUAACAAUUCAUGAGCAGGGUUUGCAACACGAGGUUGUCUCCCCAGCCCUGUUCAGCAGCAGAGGGAGGUCACAGCACGCACUUAUUCCCGGACACGUCCACCUUUCCCGCUGCUGAGGCAGCUGUUUGGGAGGGUGCGGAGUUUCCACCUCCAGAGCUCCCUAAAAAUCACUGAUGGCUCUUGAGCCCUGUGACCUUCAACAGGCCAUUCUCUUCUGUUAAAUGCCUCCAGCUUGGGCUCCUUCUGUGCUACUCUAUCCACCCGGCAAGUACUAGUCGUCUUAGUCCAGAGACGCUAGAAGUGUCCUGCCCCACAUCCCAGGCGCUUCCCCCCCAGUAUUUAUGUAUUCUGCAUUGCAGGCUUCUAGGUGUUCCCUCCUCGCUUCCAGAAGCCAGAGGCUCUUUUCUGCUGUUGGUCUGAUACGUGUUCGUGGACAAAUCACUUCUUAUGUUUCGGGUCACUUUCCGUAGUAAAAUCAUGUAUCUAUAUAUAAAUUGGUGGUGUAAAUAGUGAACAAACAUUGUAUCAUGUAAAUAAAAUAAAACUUA
Non-coding RNA from Phalacrocorax carbo (great cormorant), 4702 nucleotides. Lineage: Eukaryota; Metazoa; Chordata; Aves; Suliformes; Phalacrocoracidae. The record is from RefSeq and is a predicted model, not a curated record.